This is a long non-coding RNA of Saccostrea cuccullata (small rock oyster), 709 nucleotides long. RefSeq lists it as uncharacterized. The record is from RefSeq and is a predicted model, not a curated record. NCBI's taxonomy places the organism in Eukaryota, Metazoa, Mollusca, Bivalvia, Ostreida, Ostreidae. The transcript is spliced from 3 exons.
GGGGGAACAAACAAAAAUUGUUCCAGGGAUUGUCUAAUUUUUAAAAAGUACAUUGUAUUUGCCAAUAUCACAGAUUUUAGUUUUGGAAGUUUGUUUGCCUCGUGGUUCCCUUAAAAGAGCUGAAUUCAUAUAGAUAAAUUACAUGUCUUCAGUGUUAACCUUCCAUAACCUUAUAUUGCCUUAAAGUAUUAACCAUGUAUUUAAAUUACCACGAUUCUCACAGUAAUACAGACAUGCAUAUAUAAAUAAAAAUUUUAAAUGGCAUAAUAGUUUCCUCGUAAACAAUUUCAAUCUGACAAGAUCUCGGGUAAUCACACUUGGGGGAUGUUACAGGUUGAGAAACUUGUUAAUUCGAUACGAGAUCAGUGUAAAUCUCGGCAAUGAUUGCGGAUCCACGGUACCGCGAUGCCAGACUUUGGGUGAGACGAGCUAUUUUAUCGUGACAGUUGGGUACCUGGUACCGCGGCCGAGGCACUUUGGGACAGAGGAUCAUUUCGCUGAACAAACAGAAUAUUAGCUUUCAGGUUCAAUAUGUUUAUUUAUCUACAAGAAACAAUGACUGAGACUGUGAUCACUUGUUACAAUGCAGCGUGCAAGAGGCACGAUCGACUAGUGCAAACACUCGGCGGUCAAAGGUUACGUUCAAGAUAAUUUUGACUUCGGAUCCAAAAUUACCAUACAAAGUGCUAAGUGUACCUGAACAAACCCC